UGGGGAAUAUUGCACAAUGGGCGAAAGCCUGAUGCAGCGACGCCGCGUGAGGGAUGACGGCCUUCGGGUUGUAAACCUCUUUCAGCAGGGACGAAGCGAAAGUGACGGUACCUGCAGAAGAAGCGCCGGCCAACUACGUGCCAGCAGCCGCGGUAAGACGUAGGGCGCGAGCGUUGUCCGGAUUUAUUGGGCGUAAAGAGCUCGUAGGCGGCUUGUCGCGUCGACUGUGAAAACCCGUGGCUCAACCAUGUGGUCUGCAGUCGAUACGGGCAGGCUAGAAUUCGGUAGGGGAGACUGGAAUUCCUGGUGUAGCGGUGAAAUGCGCAGAUAUCAGGAGGAACACCGGUGGCGAAGGCGGGUCUCUGGGCCGAUAUUGACGCUGAGGAGCGAAAGCGUGGGGAGCGAACA
Molecule: ribosomal RNA, 408 nt
Filed under: uncultured bacterium
Lineage: Bacteria
Also listed under: 2 other names
Description: bacterial SSU rRNA
Rfam family: Bacterial small subunit ribosomal RNA
Source: RNAcentral